This 459-nucleotide ribosomal RNA is filed under the name uncultured bacterium. Its description in RNAcentral is "partial 16S ribosomal RNA". It matches the Rfam family "Bacterial small subunit ribosomal RNA", at positions 338 to 795 of the family's 1533-position model. The record is from RNAcentral.
CCUACGGGCGGCAGCAGUGAGGAAUAUUGGUCAAUGGGCGCGAGCCUGAACGAGCCAAGUCGCGUGAGCGAAGACGGUCCUAUGAAUUGUAAAUCUCUUUUGUCGGGGAGAAAAAGACGUCUGGCGUGGCGUUCCGAGUGUACCCGAAGAAAAAGCAUCGGCGAAAUCCGUGCCAGCAGCCGCGGUAAUACGGAGGAUGCGAGCGUUAUCCGGAGUUAGUGGGUUGAUAGGGUGCGCAGACGGAAUAGUAAGUCAUCGGUAAAAUUGAGGGGCUCAACCUCUUCGAGCAGUUGAAACUGGUAAGCUAGAGUAAGCGAGAGGUAUGCGGAAUGCGUGGUGUAGCGGUAAAAUGCGUAGAUAUCACGAAGAACACCAAUUGCGAAGGCGGCAUGCCGGCGCUCAACUGACAUUGAUGCACGAAAGUGUGGGUAUCGAACAGGAUUAGAUACCCCUGUAGUC